RNAcentral lists this ribosomal RNA (456 nucleotides) under Massilia sp. RNAcentral's name for it is "bacterial SSU rRNA". It matches the Rfam family "Bacterial small subunit ribosomal RNA", at positions 20 to 473 of the family's 1533-position model. Lineage: Bacteria; Pseudomonadati; Pseudomonadota; Betaproteobacteria; Burkholderiales; Oxalobacteraceae. The record is from RNAcentral.
UGGCUCAGAUUGAACGCUGGCGGCAUGCUUUACACAUGCAAGUCGAACGGCAGCGCGGGGCAACCUGGCGGCGAGUGGCGAACGGGUGAGUAAUAUAUCGGAACGUACCCAGAAGUGGGGGAUAACGUAGCGAAAGUUACGCUAAUACCGCAUACGAUCUACGGAUGAAAGUGGGGGACCUUCGGGCCUCAUGCUUUUGGAGCGGCCGAUAUCUGAUUAGCUAGUUGGUGAGGUAAAGGCUCACCAAGGCGACGAUCAGUAGCUGGUCUGAGAGGACGACCAGCCACACUGGGACUGAGACACGGCCCAGACUCCUACGGGAGGCAGCAGUGGGGAAUUUUGGACAAUGGGCGCAAGCCUGAUCCAGCAAUGCCGCGUGAGUGAAGAAGGCCUUCGGGUUGUAAAGCUCUUUUGUCAGGGAAGAAACGGCUGAGGAUAAUACCUUUGGCUAAUGAC